ACAGAGGUCCCAAGCGUUGUUCGGAUUCACUGGGCGUAAAGGGUGCGUAGGUGGCGGGAAAAGUUUGAUGUGAAAUCUCCGGGCUUAACCCGGAAAUGGCAUUGGAUACUGUCUUGCUCGAGUGUCGGAGAGGAGAGUGGAAUUCUCGGUGUAGCAGUGAAAUGCGUAGAUAUCGGGAGGAACACCGGUGGCGAAGGCGAUUUUCUGGACGUCUACUGACUCUGAGGCACGAAAGCGUGGGGAGCAAACAG
This 251-nucleotide ribosomal RNA is filed under the name uncultured prokaryote. RNAcentral describes it as "partial 16S rRNA". It matches the Rfam family "Bacterial small subunit ribosomal RNA", at positions 525 to 775 of the family's 1533-position model. The record is from RNAcentral.